Molecule: regulatory RNA element, 166 nt
Organism: Paenibacillus popilliae ATCC 14706
Lineage: Bacteria; Bacillati; Bacillota; Bacilli; Caryophanales; Paenibacillaceae
Rfam family: FMN riboswitch aptamer (RFN element)
About the family: The RFN element is a highly conserved domain that is found frequently in the 5'-untranslated regions of prokaryotic mRNAs that encode for flavin mononucleotide (FMN) biosynthesis and transport proteins. This element is a metabolite-dependent riboswitch that directly binds FMN in the absence of proteins. In Bacillus subtilis, the riboswitch most likely controls gene expression by causing premature transcription termination within the 5' untranslated region of the ribDEAHT operon and precluding access to the ribosome-binding site of ypaA mRNA.
Source: Rfam
CUGAACCUUCAGGGCAGGGUGUAAUUCCCGACCGGCGGUGAUGGAACGGUAGCGAUGUUGAUGGCUAUUGUCUUCCUUAGUCCGCGACCCGGGCGAACGUUGUUCGAACGGUGGAUCUGGUGCAACUCCAGAGCCGACAGUAUAGUCUGGAUGGGAGAAGGGCGUC